This is a non-coding RNA of Schistosoma mansoni, 45 nucleotides long. The record is from Rfam. NCBI's taxonomy places the organism in Eukaryota, Metazoa, Platyhelminthes, Trematoda, Strigeidida, Schistosomatidae.
AUCCAUUUGACGAGUCCCAAAUAGGACGAAACGCGCGUCCUGGAU